GACAGCCCGGCGAACCGCGCAAUGCGCUUCUUCUGCCUGCAGCAGAGAAAAGGAAAGAAAACUCCGCAGGGGCUCCGUUGGCUUCUCCACGAGUGACAACCAUGUUUUCCCAGAUAGAAGACCGGAGCCCUGCUCCUUUGCGAUCCGCCGAGGGCUGCAGAGAGCAUCCUCAUCCAUUUGGGCACCCCUGCCCAGGAAGAGCCCGGCCAUCCCUUUCCGGACUGGAUCCUUAAGAGGUGAAUUUUCUUCCGUGGAUUCCGAUUUGCUCCGUCUGACCAGCCUAGGCAAUCCAGCAUCGCGUGGUACCAGUGCCGCUGGGCACACUGGCUUCACGCCGGCUCCGCCUCACCAGCAAGCGCAUUCCCAGAUGGAGUCUCACUCUCUCGCCCAGACUGGAGUGCAGUGAAGCAAUCUCAGCUCACUGCAACCUCCACCCUCCCGGGUUCAAGUAAUUCUCCUGCUUCAGCCUCCUGAGUAGCUAGGAUUACAGGCAUGCACCAUCAUACCUGGCUGUAGCCCUUAUUUUAAAUUCAAUGUACUGUAAUGAUUUACUUGGUUUAUUGUCUUAACUUUCUGUUCCACUGGAAUACAGGUUCAAUAAGGAGGGAUUUUAAUCAAUUUUGUUCUCUGAAGUGUCUUCAGAACCAAAUGAGUAAAAAAUUAUCAUUGUUGACGUUUUCACUUCGUGCUAGCAUAUGGGCAAUCUCAAUUUAUUUCUAAUAACUCCCUGUAUCUUUC
This 738-nucleotide long non-coding RNA is filed under the name Homo sapiens (human). RNAcentral describes it as "DPPA2 upstream binding RNA". The record is from RNAcentral. Lineage: Eukaryota; Metazoa; Chordata; Mammalia; Primates; Hominidae.